GAUGAAGAACGGAGCGAAAUGCGAUAAGUAAUGUGAAUUGCAGAAUUCAGUGAAUCAUCGAAUCUUUGAACGCACAUUGCGCCCGCCAGUAUUCUGGCGGGCAUGCCUGUUCGAGCGUCAUUUCAACCCUCAAGACCCCUUCGGGGGACUUGGUGUUGGGGACCGGCACAGGGGCCUGCCUGCUUGUCUUGCAGCGCCCUCGCCGCCCCCGAAAUGAAUUGGCGGCCUCGUCGCGGCCUCCCCUGCGUAGUAGCACAAACCUCGCAACGGGAACGUGACGGCGGCCACUGCCGUAAAACAACCCAAUUUUAUUAGAGUUGACCUCGAAUCAGGUAGGAAUACCCGCUGAACUUAAGCAUAUCAAUAAGCGGAGGA
Molecule: unclassified non-coding RNA, 375 nt
Filed under: soil metagenome
Description: partial contains 5.8S ribosomal RNA, internal transcribed spacer 2, and large subunit ribosomal RNA
Rfam family: 5.8S ribosomal RNA (bases 1-120)
Source: RNAcentral